Molecule: ribosomal RNA, 1159 nt
Filed under: Salmonella enterica subsp. enterica serovar 1,4,[5],12:i:-
Lineage: Bacteria; Pseudomonadati; Pseudomonadota; Gammaproteobacteria; Enterobacterales; Enterobacteriaceae
Description: partial 23S ribosomal RNA
Rfam family: Bacterial large subunit ribosomal RNA
Source: RNAcentral
GGGCGUUAAGUUGCAGGGUAUAGACCCGAAACCCGGUGAUCUAGCCAUGGGCAGGUUGAAGGUUGGGUAACACUAACUGGAGGACCGAACCGACUAAUGUUGAAAAAUUAGCGGAUGACCUGUGGCUGGGGGUGAAAGGCCAAUCAAACCGGGAGAUAGCUGGUUCUCCCCGAAAGCUAUUUAGGUAGCGCCUCGUGAAUUCAUCUCCGGGGGUAGAGCACUGUUUCGGCUAGGGGGCCAUCCCGGCUUACCAACCCGAUGCAAACUGCGAAUACCGGAGAAUGUUAUCACGGGAGACACACGGCGGGUGCUAACGUCCGUCGUGAAGAGGGAAACAACCCAGACCGCCAGCUAAGGUCCCAAAGUCAUGGUUAAGUGGGAAACGAUGUGGGAAGGCCCAGACAGCCAGGAUGUUGGCUUAGAAGCAGCCAUCAUUUAAAGAAAGCGUAAUAGCUCACUGGUCGAGUCGGCCUGCGCGGAAGAUGUAACGGGGCUAAACCAUGCACCGAAGCUGCGGCAGCGAACGUAUCACUUAAAGCGAUUCAGCGGGUUACGAUUGACGGAGCGAAGCGACGUCAAAGCGUAUACAAAGUCGAGUCGGUUUAAGGAUACGUUCGUUGGGUAGGGGAGCGUUCUGUAAGCCCGUGAAGGUGGCCUGUGAGGGUUGCUGGAGGUAUCAGAAGUGCGAAUGCUGACAUAAGUAACGAUAAAGCGGGUGAAAAGCCCGCUCGCCGGAAGACCAAGGGUUCCUGUCCAACGUUAAUCGGGGCAGGGUGAGUCGACCCCUAAGGCGAGGCCGAAAGGCGUAGUCGAUGGGAAACGGGUUAAUAUUCCCGUACUUGGUGUUACUGCGAAGGGGGGACGGAGAAGGCUAUGUUGGCCGGGCGACGGUUGUCCCGGUUUAAGCGUGUAGGUGUGUGUUCCAGGUAAAUCCGGUUCACUUUAACACUGAGGCGUGAUGACGAGGCACUACGGUGCUGAAGCAACAAAUGCCCUGCUUCCAGGAAAAGCCUCUAAGCAUCAGGUAACACGAAAUCGUACCCCAAACCGACACAGGUGGUCAGGUAGAGAAUACCAAGGCGCUUGAGAGAACUCGGGUGAAGGAACUAGGCAAAAUGGUGCCGUAACUUCGGGAGAAGGCACGCUGACACGUAGGUGA